RNAcentral lists this ribosomal RNA (334 nucleotides) under uncultured Deferribacteres bacterium. Its description in RNAcentral is "bacterial SSU rRNA". It matches the Rfam family "Bacterial small subunit ribosomal RNA", at positions 28 to 351 of the family's 1533-position model. The record is from RNAcentral. Lineage: Bacteria; Pseudomonadati; Deferribacterota; Deferribacteres.
GACGAACGCUGGCGGCGUGCUUAACACAUGCAAGUCAAGGAGAAAAGGAAUCUUCGGAAUCCUGAGUAAACUGGCGAACGGGUGAGUAACACGUAGGUAACCUACCUAUAAGUCUGGGAUAACCUUGCUAACGCGGGGCUAAUACCGGAUAAUAUUUUCUGGUCACAUGAUCGGAAAAUCAAAGCUGUCUUCGGGUAGCACUUAUGGAUGGACCUGCGCCCCAUUAGCUAGUUGGUAGGGUAGCAGCCUACCAAGGCGACGAUGGGUAGCCGGCCUGAGAGGGUGAUCGGCCACACUGGGACUGAGAUACGGUCCAGACUCCUACGGGAGGCUG